GACGAACGCUGGCGGCGUGCUUAACACAUGCAAGUCGAACGGAAAGGCCCUGCUUGCAGGGUACUCGAGUGGCGAACGGGUGAGUAACACGUGGGUGAUCUGCCCUGCACUUCGGGAUAAGCUUGGGAAACUGGGUCUAAUACCGGAUAGGAGCCAUCUUUAGUGUGGUGGUUGGAAAGUUUUUUCGGUGUAGGAUGAGCUCGCGGCCUAUCAGCUUGUUGGUGGGGUAAUGGCCUACCAAGGCGGCGACGGGUAGCCGGCCUGAGAGGGUGUACGGCCACAUUGGGACUGAGAGACGGCCCAGACUCCGACGGGAGGCAGCAGUGGGGAAUAUUGCACAAUGGGCGCAAGCCUGAUGCAGCGACGCCGCGUGGGGGAUGAAGGCCUUCGGGUUGUAAACUCCUUUCGCUAGGGACGAAGCUUUGUUGUGACGGUACCUAGAUAAGAAGCACCGGCUAACUACGUG
Molecule: ribosomal RNA, 466 nt
Filed under: uncultured bacterium
Lineage: Bacteria
Description: partial 16S ribosomal RNA
Rfam family: Bacterial small subunit ribosomal RNA
Source: RNAcentral